AUUUAGAGCACCGAAGAAUGUUUCUAUUUACUGAUUUUUUUUUGAAAAAGUAUUUACUGGAAAAUAUUUCAGGGUCUCUGUCCAUUGCUGACGCAGAAGUUCUACAGGAUUCAACUCUAUCUCGUAUGGUGCUGCCGCACCAACUCUCCACGUUUCACCGAUUCUCUCGUAACGUUCUUGUAAUAUAUUUUUGUGCAAACAGAUGGCCGUCACCCUUUUGUAUAUAGCUAGCGGUAGCAAAUGGAUUGCUUCUUAAAAAGCGAAAAAUGGAUUGUUUGUAUUUAUAAUGAACUGCAGUGCUUGUAAAUAUAUGUAGACUGAUGAUUUACAGCAGAAAGUGCGUGAGAAUGUACCGUCUCUGCAAGCAUGCAUUUUUAUUGUUGAAAAGCUGAAUCUUUUUUGAGACUGAGAUUUAUCUUGAAC
Molecule: long non-coding RNA, 423 nt
Filed under: Phoenix dactylifera (date palm)
Lineage: Eukaryota; Viridiplantae; Streptophyta; Magnoliopsida; Arecales; Arecaceae
Description: long non-coding RNA (PDAC_LNC013706)
Source: RNAcentral